CACGCCGUAAACGAUGAGUACUAGGUGUAGGAGGUAUCGACCCCUUCUGUGCCGCAGUAAACACAAUAAGUACUCCGCCUGGGAAGUACGAUCGCAAGAUUAAAACUCAAAGGAAUUGACGGGGGCCCGCACAAGCAGCGGAGCAUGUGGUUUAAUUCGAAGCAACGCGAAGAACCUUACCAGGUCUUGACAUCCCAGUGACCACUCUAGAGAUAGAGUUUUCCCUUCGGGGACAUUGGUGACAGGUGG
Molecule: ribosomal RNA, 249 nt
Filed under: uncultured bacterium
Lineage: Bacteria
Description: partial 16S ribosomal RNA
Rfam family: Bacterial small subunit ribosomal RNA
Source: RNAcentral